This is a long non-coding RNA of Rosa rugosa (rugosa rose), 1053 nucleotides long. RefSeq lists it as uncharacterized. NCBI's taxonomy places the organism in Eukaryota, Viridiplantae, Streptophyta, Magnoliopsida, Rosales, Rosaceae. The record is from RefSeq and is a predicted model, not a curated record. The transcript has 2 exons.
UAAUAUUUCCCUAUCUUGACACGAUUCGUACGCUUGCGAGAGUAUAUGCAUCAAGUCAGGUAUCAUUUUGUCCGAUGCAAGAAAGUUUGACCCUAGUGGUGAUAAAAACUCUUUUGAUUUAUCCACCAAACCUUACAAUUAAAAUCACCUUACCAUAUAGGACGGGAGAGAAAGAAAGAGAGGGAUAGAGAGAAAAGAGGAUAAGGAAGAGCUUACCAGUGGAAGAGAUGAAGAAAGUCUCUAGGAUCUUCUGUCGAGACGAGGGAGAGAGAAUUCAUCUUUCUUUGGCUGGCUAGUCUGAGAUAGGGGCCCAAUUUGGGAAUACUUUUAAAACUGCUUUUGAUCUUAAAAAUACUUCUGAAAUUAUUUGAGGUGUUUGGUAAACUAUCUAAAGUCAGCUUUUGGCCAGAAGCGAUUCUCUAGACCGCGGAAAUAUGGAAGCUGCAAAUAGCAGCUUUUUAUUUCUGCUUCUACGGGAAUCAAGUUAAGAACGCGGAAGACUUAAUGAAACAUAAUGAACUGCCCAGAUUGUCCUCGUGCUUUUAUGAGUUUUACAUUGACAGGUCCUUUGUUCUGUCGCACUCUUCCUUCGCCAACAUCCUCUCCUUCUCUCUGUGACUGUCUCACCGAUUCUUCUCUCCCCUUAGCAAUGAGUGAAGCUUUUUGGGGGAUUUGGAUCAUAAUGAUUUAUAGCUUUGUCUGAUCUCAGACAUUCGAUCUUACUUGCAACUAUCGACGGAUCACCAUGCCGGAUGUACGCCUCUCAUCCUCCAUUCCAGGAGUUGGGAUCAGUGGACAAGAGGCUCAACAAGCUGUCAUGGCUUCAAAUUUUGCAAUGGAGCAGUUCAGAUUCUUAGUUCCUUUCUAGUUGGUAUUGGAAUUACCAGCAAGUGACACAUUUGAAUUGAAGCUAGAAGGUUGAAGAUGGCCAAAUUUGUAUCUACUUUAAGUCGAACCAAUUGUAUAUGAUAUUCUUGAUGUUCGACUUGCACCUGCCACUUAUAACAGGAACAAUGAAAGAAGAAUCAGUAUGGUACCUUCUUUAUUAGUAUA